This 1290-nucleotide long non-coding RNA is filed under the name Vigna radiata. RNAcentral describes it as "long non-coding RNA (VRAD_LNC005201)". The record is from RNAcentral. Lineage: Eukaryota; Viridiplantae; Streptophyta; Magnoliopsida; Fabales; Fabaceae.
UUUAAGUGUGUCGUUGGGCGGUACGUCGACUCUUCAAAACUUCAUUUUUCUGCUCUUUUCUUGAGUCAACGACCUGUAUCUUCAACUCCAUUCUUACUUUUCUCAAAUUAGCUACAAAACAAUGCAAAAUAAGCAUAAAAUCGUUAAAAUCAACUUUUGACUCUCUCCAUACUCAUUUAUUGAGUUUUGCUUGAUUCUAAGCUCAUUCUGAAUAGUAAAGGGUGUAAUUUGGUCCAAAUUGACAUAUGAAAAUCACUGUUUUUCAACCUUCAUCAACACCCCAAACUUAGAAUUUUGCUUGUCCUCAAGCAAAACAAAACAAAACAAUCACACAAAACAAAACUUGGCUUUAUACUGUUUCAUCCAAUGCCUCAACAAAUCCAAGGUACAUGACAAAACUACCCAAUUCAAUAUCCUCAGUGAAAUCCAAAAUAAGAUGCAUGCAUGCUUUCAACCCAUAAAUUACACAAUAGAUGUUAUACACUAUGAAUGAUCAAUCCACUAAGCAAAAAUGUACUCAUGAAAUUUAACAAUUCGUACCAAGAAAGUGUUUCACUCAAUCACUCAAGUGUUUAAGGUGACACUCCAACUCUCUAUUGUCCACAAGUCACAUGAAACAAAAUUGUCAUUCAUCUCAAACAAUCAACAUCUAUACAUGCAAAUGCCAUCAAAAGGACUUUUCCAAAGCUUGUAAUGAGGUUGGGCUGACAAGAACGAAUGGAUUUUUCUAGAAUGCAAAAUCCUUGAGUUAAGAGAGCUAUUAAAAUAUUCAACAUUUAAGCACAACUCUCCUCCUCACUAAUCUCUCUUAUUCCCAACUUCUCCCUUUUCUUUUUCUAUUUCUUUUGCAUUGAGCUCUUCUUCAUGCUUUUCUUCUUUUCUUUUCUUUUUNUCAUGAAUUUUUCUUUUCACAACAUUUGAGCUCAAUGCUUUUCGCUUGCUUUUUCAAUUUUCCCCCAGCAACCCCAAACUUGAACCUUUUCAUCGCAUACAAUGAAGCUCAUCCCAACUCAAGGUAAAGAUUUACAAGACAAGGGUUCACAUACUAUUUAAGGCUAAGUUUCAAAAAGGGUAAAAUGUUUUCAAGCACUUUGGGUGAAAUUUUGGCUAGAGCAGGGUUUUCAAAAAUGGCCUUGAUCAUAUGACAUUCACAUGCAAUUCAGUCAAUCAUCAAUAUUAAGGCAAUAUCAUCCAUAUUUUCCUGUGAACAAUACAUGCAACAAUAAAAACUCUGGAGCUCAAAAUCUCACACACAUGCUUCCUCACACAAAAUUCAUUCAUACACCAUGC